This 253-nucleotide ribosomal RNA is filed under the name uncultured bacterium. RNAcentral describes it as "partial 16S ribosomal RNA". It matches the Rfam family "Bacterial small subunit ribosomal RNA", at positions 524 to 776 of the family's 1533-position model. The record is from RNAcentral.
UACGUAGGGAGCUAGCGUUGUCCGGAAUCAUUGGGCGUAAAGCGCGCGUAGGCGGCCCGGUAAGUCCGCUGUGAAAGUCAAAGGCUCAACCUUUGAAUGUCAGCGGAUACUGCCGGGCUAGAGUCCGGAAGAGGCGAGUGGAACUCCUGGUGUAGCGGUGGAAUGCGCAGAUAUCGGGAGGAACACCAGUAGCGAAGGCGGCUCGCUGGGCCAUUCCUGACGCUGAGACGCGAAAGCUAGGGGAGCGAACAGG